GCACAAGCGGAGGAGCAUGUGGUUUAAUUCGAUGAUACGCGAGGAACCUUACCUGGGCUCGAACGUAAGAUGACUGUAGGUGAAAGCUUACAUCUCUUCGGAGCAUUUUACGAGGUGCUGCAUGGCUGUCGUCAGCUCGUGUCGUGAGAUGUUGGGUUAAGUCCCGCAACGAGCGCAACCCUUGCCUUUAGUUGCCAGCAGUUCGGCUGGGCACCCUAAAGGGACUGCCGGUGUUAAACCGGAGGAAGGUGGGGAUGACGUCAAGUCCUCAUGGCCUUUAUGACCAGGGCUACACACGUACUACAAUGGCCGAUACAAAGGGCAGCGACACUGCGAGGUGAAGCCAAUCCCGUAAAAUCGGUCUCAGUCCGGAUUGGAGUCUGCAACUCGACUCCAUGAAGUUGGAAUCGCUAGUAAUCGCGCAUCAGCAUGGCGCGGUGAAUACGUUCCCGGGCCUU
Molecule: ribosomal RNA, 458 nt
Filed under: uncultured Desulfobulbus sp.
Lineage: Bacteria; Pseudomonadati; Thermodesulfobacteriota; Desulfobulbia; Desulfobulbales; Desulfobulbaceae
Description: bacterial SSU rRNA
Rfam family: Bacterial small subunit ribosomal RNA
Source: RNAcentral